RNAcentral lists this ribosomal RNA (253 nucleotides) under uncultured bacterium. Its description in RNAcentral is "partial 16S ribosomal RNA". It matches the Rfam family "Bacterial small subunit ribosomal RNA", at positions 524 to 776 of the family's 1533-position model. The record is from RNAcentral.
UACGUAGGGUGCGAGCGUUAAUCGGAAUUACUGGGCGUAAAGCGUGCGUAGGCGGUUCGUUAUGUCUGCUGUGAAAGCCCCGGGCUUAACCUGGGAAUGGCAGUGGAAACUGGCGGGCUUGAGUGUGGCAGAGGGGGGUGGAAUUCCGCGUGUAGCAGUGAAAUGCGUAGAGAUGCGGAGGAACACCGAUGGCGAAGGCAGCCCCCUGGGCUGACACUGACGCUGAGGCACGAAAGCGUGGGGAGCAAACGGG